UUGGCUAAAAAUUGCUAAAUUCCAGAUAUUUGUUGGUAGUAUAGUGGUUAUAUUGCAUUUAUAGCAUUUUUCACCAUGAAGUGAUAUUUAUUUAAAUGUGAACAUUUCUACUUUGAAAACAUAAGCCAAGUUUUUUGUGUUUUCUCAUAGCUACUAAGAUUACCGGUAAAUGUGAAACUAGUAAAAUAACAUUUCUAGAUAAAGCAUGAAAACAGUGUUUAUCAGUAAUUGCAUUUGGACUCAUAUUGAGACGAAAAUCUGUUUAAAGAAUUUAGAGGUAUUUUGUUAAAUCCAGUAAGGUAAAUAGCACAGUAUAGGUUUGGUUCAAGCCAGAUACAUUUGUUAUAUAGCUGUUGAAGAAACCUUGUGUAUGGACUUAUUUAAUACAAGUCGAGUCAGUAAUGCUGAUAGAACGGGUAUUUCCCACGUAAAUGUGUUUUAAAGCUGAUACUAUUUGGGGAAUUUUUAUUUGAUGGUUUGAGAUAGUGCAUCAUGUGCCCUAUGUGAGUUUUGAAAUUUAAUCUCAAGACAGAGAUAUAAACAAAUAAUUUCAUAAAGAGUGCUGAACUACAUUCAGUAAAUAGGUUAAAAGGGAUAGGUAAUUCCUUGAUAAUGUCAAUCGAUUGUUUAGUAAAUUUUUAGAAUAAUUUAAAGGAGCCAUGUUUCAGUGAUCGAUGUGAAUUCAUUUUAUUAAGUCGAUCAAGUAGAUUGAUUAUAUUUAUGUUUAGCGCCAUCUGGAGGCUACUAAAUUCGUGUAAAGAAAUGACACCCUUUUUGGUUUCCAGUGGAUGAAAUCUAUUGAUAUUGGAGGCAUCCUUGUGUAAGAUGGAAGUUAGAUGCACUUAAGAAGGCAGAAUGAAGUUUUUACGGAGCAUUUGGAGCAACAAGAGAAUUGGAAUAAUAAAGAAAGACCAAUAAACAAAGUCAAA
RNAcentral lists this long non-coding RNA (929 nucleotides) under Strongylocentrotus purpuratus (purple sea urchin). RNAcentral describes it as "uncharacterized LOC105447444". Lineage: Eukaryota; Metazoa; Echinodermata; Echinoidea; Camarodonta; Strongylocentrotidae. The record is from RNAcentral.